GAGUUUGAUCUUGGCUCAGAUUGAACGCUGGCGGCAUGCCUUACACAUGCAAGUCGAACGGCAGCACGGGAGCUUGCUCCUGGUGGCGAGUGGCGAACGGGUGAGUAAUGCAUCGGAACGUAUCCUGGAGUGGGGGAUAACGUAGCGAAAGUUACGCUAAUACCGCAUAUUCUGUGAGCAGGAAAGCGGGGGACCUUCGGGCCUCGCGCUCUUGGAGCGGCCGAUGUCGGAUUAGCUAGUUGGUGAGGUAAAGGCUCACCAAGGCGACGAUCCGUAGCAGGUCUGAGGGGAUGAUCUGCCACACUGGAACUGAGACACGGUCCAGACUCCUACGGGAGGCAGCAGUGGGGAAUUUUGGACAAUGGGGGCAACCCUGAUCCAGCCAUGCCGCGUGAGUGAAGAAGGCCUUCGGUUGUAAGACGUCUUCGUCGAGGG
This 435-nucleotide ribosomal RNA is filed under the name bacterium enrichment culture clone ALO1_GLFRUDD03F8SK6. Its description in RNAcentral is "bacterial SSU rRNA". It matches the Rfam family "Bacterial small subunit ribosomal RNA", at positions 9 to 444 of the family's 1533-position model. The record is from RNAcentral.